UACAGAGGGUGCAAGCGUUAAUCGGAUUUACUGGGCGUAAAGGGCGCGUAGGUGGUUAUGUAAGUGAGAGGUGAAAUCCCUGGGCUUAACCUGGGAACUGCCUCUUAUACUGGAUAGCUGGAGUACAAUAGAGGGUAGUGGAAUUUCCGGUGUAGCGGUGAAAUGCGUAGAUAUCGGAAGGAACACCAGUGGCGAAGGCGGCUACCUGGAUUGAUACUGACACUGAGGCGCGAGAGCGUGGGGAGCAAACAGG
RNAcentral lists this ribosomal RNA (253 nucleotides) under uncultured bacterium. RNAcentral's name for it is "partial 16S ribosomal RNA". It matches the Rfam family "Bacterial small subunit ribosomal RNA", at positions 524 to 776 of the family's 1533-position model. The record is from RNAcentral.